This 253-nucleotide ribosomal RNA is filed under the name uncultured bacterium. Its description in RNAcentral is "partial 16S ribosomal RNA". It matches the Rfam family "Bacterial small subunit ribosomal RNA", at positions 524 to 776 of the family's 1533-position model. The record is from RNAcentral.
UACGUAGGUGGCAAGCGUUGUCCGGAUUUAUUGGGUUUAAAGGGUGCGUAGGCGGUCCUAUAAGUCAGUGCUGAAAUAUCCCGGCUUAACCGGGAGGGUGGCAUUGAUACUGUAGGACUUGAGUAAAGUUGAGGUUGGCGGAAUUGACGGUGUAGCGGUGAAAUGCUUAGAUAUCGUCAAGAACACCGAUGGCGAAGGCAGCUAACUAAGCUUUAACUGACGCUGAGGCACGAAAGCUAGGGGAGCGAACGGG